This 667-nucleotide ribosomal RNA is filed under the name uncultured Corynebacterium sp. Its description in RNAcentral is "bacterial SSU rRNA". It matches the Rfam family "Bacterial small subunit ribosomal RNA", at positions 618 to 1285 of the family's 1533-position model. The record is from RNAcentral. Lineage: Bacteria; Bacillati; Actinomycetota; Actinomycetes; Mycobacteriales; Corynebacteriaceae.
GGUGUGCAGGCGAUACGGGCUGGCUUGAGUGCUGUAGGGGAGACUGGAAUUCCUGGUGUAGCGGUGGAAUGCGCAGAUAUCAGGAGGAACACCGAUGGCGAAGGCAGGUCUCUGGGCAGUUACUGACGCUGAGGAGCGAGAGCAUGGGUAGCGAACAGGAUUAGAUACCCUGGUAGUCCAUGCUGUAAACGGUGGGCGCUAGGUGUGGGGACUUUCCAUGGUUUCCGUGUCGUAGCUAACGCGUUAAGCGCCCCGCCUGGGGAGUACGGCCGCAAGGCUAAAACUCAAAGGAAUUGACGGGGGCCCGCACAAGCGGCGGAGCAUGUGGAUUAAUUCGAUGCAACGCGAAGAACCUUACCUGGGUUUGACAUGCACUAGAUUAGGCGAGAGAUCGUCUGUCCCUUUGUGGCUGGUGUGCAGGUGGUGCAUGGUUGUCGUCAGCUCGUGUCGUGAGAUGUUGGGUUAAGUCCCGCAACGAGCGUAACCCUUGUCUUAUGUUGCCAGCACGUUGUGGUGGGGACUCGUGAGAGACUGCCGGGGUGAACUCGGAGGAAGGUGGGGAUGACGUCAAAUCAUCAUGCCCCUUAUGUCCAGGGCUUCACACAUGCUACAAUGGCCGGUACAGUAGGUUGCGAGACCGUGAGGUGGAGCUAUCCUUUAAAGCUGG